This 422-nucleotide ribosomal RNA is filed under the name uncultured bacterium. Its description in RNAcentral is "SSU rRNA". It matches the Rfam family "Bacterial small subunit ribosomal RNA", at positions 370 to 808 of the family's 1533-position model. The record is from RNAcentral.
CAUGGGCGAAGCCUGAUGCAGCAACGCCGCGUGAGUGAAGAAGUAUCUCGCNUAUGUAAAGCUCUAUCAGCAGGGNAAGAAAAUGACGGUACCUGACUAAGAAGCCCCGGCUAACUACGUGCCAGCAGCCGCGGUAAUACGUAGGGGGCAAGCGUUAUCCGGAUUUACUGGGUGUAAAGGGAGCGCAGACGGCACUGCAAGUCUGAAGUGAAAGCCCGGGGCUCAACCCCGGGACUGCUUUGGAAACUGUAGAGCUAGAGUGCUGGAGAGGCAAGCGGAAUUCCUAGUGUAGCGGUGAAAUGCGUAGAUAUUAGGAGGAACACCAGUGGCGAAGGCGGCUUACUGGACGAUAACUGACGCUGAGGCUCGAAAGCGUGGGGAGCAAACAGGAUUAGAUACCCUGGUAGUCCAAGGGCGAAUUC